AUUGGAAUUUUGUCAUUCCAUAUUGUGAGUGAUGCUGACAUAAUUCCAAAUAACACAAAGCUUAACUCACCUCAAGUUCAAAAUAACUCAAUUGAUAAUACAAUUGAAAAAUUAACUGAGGAUGAAAUCAAGUAAGUAAGGAAUACCUGGAUGUUAUCCAUCCAAGAUUAUGCGGUUGAAUUUGGAGAUGAUAUUUUGCUGAGUUUUAACCCAAAAUCCAUUUGGUAUCUUCAGUGUAGUGCUUGUACACUAACUCCAGAGCGUUAUUUCAAUUACCGGAUGCAGCGAAAUAAUAUUCAGGUUACGAGUAUACUAUAAAUACAAUUGGGCGCCAUUGGAUUCUUGAUUUGCGCGAGAACAAAGGAAAAAAUUGGA
This is a long non-coding RNA of Cotesia glomerata, 375 nucleotides long. RefSeq lists it as uncharacterized. The record is from RefSeq and is a predicted model, not a curated record. NCBI's taxonomy places the organism in Eukaryota, Metazoa, Arthropoda, Insecta, Hymenoptera, Braconidae. The transcript is spliced from 3 exons.